CUCCAUGACAAACCCACCUGGGGUUCUCCACAUGCCCUGGAGGGCUUGCAACAGCUCCGGGCAGCUUCCAGCUGUGAGAAGGAUGAGUGAGGGGAUUCACCUGAGCUGUAACAGAACCAUGGGAGGGGCUUGGUUUACUGGGAUAAAUUCUGAGGAAGUUCUGCUGGAGUUGUGUAACAUAAAGACAACGUGUGGUUGCUUCUGUCGCAGAUAUAAAUAUGUACAGUGCCUCCAUGGCCCAGAGAAACAUCUAUGGUCACAGCUGAGUGCACUCCUUCAAACAACACAUUCCAUCCCUUUGCAUCUGGAUGUACCUGUGGGAAGAUGAGUCUGAGUUUAGAAACUGGGAGAUCUCCAUAAAUCUUCAUUUUGGGUGUGAGAAUAUGGUUUCAAGCAUGCAUACCCCAAAAUCUGUGACUUCAACAAAAUGCUUCAGGCAGGGAGGGUCUGGGGGAUUUCUUUCCUCUCCAGUUGGUCAAAACCAUUUUGUUGUCAGCAUAAUUCCAUGGAUUUAAUCAGAAAUGUGUUGAACAGACUUCCCUAAGUGGUGGAGACACUGAGUGUGGAGGGAUUUAAAUGACAUGUAGAUGUGGUUCUUGGGGACUUGGGUUAGAGGUGGCCUUGGCAGUGGGGGGUUAAAUGUUGGACCUCAUGAUCCUGGAGAUUUUUUCCAGCCUAAUCAAUUCUAUGAUUCUAUGAAAAAGCCCUCCAGGGAGGGCAGUGCCAAAGGGCUGAUGCAAACUGGCUGCCACUGGAGCUGGAAUCAGCAUAGGGUGAUGCUCAUCCCUGCCUGGAGCUGUGGGAAUUCGCAGUGGGAUAGGCAGCUCACAGGGCAGAUCUCUGGGAAUGUGAAUUUUUCCUAAGAAGCAUAAUGGAUCUUGCCUGGCUUCUUUAGAAUCCCCUGCCCCAGGUGCUGGCACCUGGAGUGUUGUGGAGAAGGGAGGCUCCGACUCCAGGCCCAUUCUGGAAGGUGCUGAGCAUCUCCUUAGCUCAAGGGCUGGAUCCUCAUUUCCACUCCAGCCUCUCCAGGCUGCAAAUGCAGCUCCCAGGGCCCUUUAAUGUUCAGAGCAGCUCAAGUGUAAAUGAGAAUCAGGCCCUCCAGUGCCAUCUCUUUUCUUCCAAAGAGGAAAAAUCUCCUUGACUACAGGGAGUGAAGUGGGUCAGGAUGGUUUGGGGUUGACUCAAACCUCUUCAGUUCUGUGCUGGGUGAUGGCUGCCCUUCACUUGAGAGCCGAAAUGUUUAAGCUGCUUUUGGAGGCAAGAAGAGUUUGCAAAUCCAGGCUCGGCAUCCAUGCAAGAGAGCAGAUGCUCUCCCCACCACACCAGCUUUUCCAGAAAGGUUUCCCAAUUUCCCAGAGGUCUCUGAGGAGGAGCAGAGGAGCAGGCAGUGGUCAAGGACAAGGAACUCUUGUGGCCUCCUCUGCCAGAGGAGUGACUUUGCCAGGCGUGCCCGGCACGCGUUCUGCUGCACUGAUCUCCUGCAUUUUGUGCUCCAUUGCUCUGCAAGAGGACAGAGUGUCUGGAGCAUGGUGACAUCAAUCUGGGCACAUGGCUGGGGCUCCUGCUGUCAGGGACAGAAAGGUUCUGCAGUGGAAAGGGGAUGGAUCCGUCCACGGAGUGAAUACCUGGGGAUGGUGUUCAUUAGUGCAAAAGGAGGGGGAGGGAGGCGAUUUGGCUGGGAUACACAAAAAGGUGUUCAUCUGCCAGGGAGUGGGUAAUGAGGCUGGACCAAGUUAAUAUCUGGGGCUGGAACAUGUUCAGACGAGAACGUGUCAAUGCCUGGGAAUGAGGAUUUUGGAGAUGCGGCUGUCAAGGCUAUCCAGGAUCUUCAGAAACCCUUGAUAAGGUCACUCCACCCUACUGAUGA
Molecule: long non-coding RNA, 1867 nt
Organism: Passer domesticus (house sparrow)
Lineage: Eukaryota; Metazoa; Chordata; Aves; Passeriformes; Passeridae
Exons: 2
Source: RefSeq, a predicted model, not a curated record